GGGGAGGUAACUCUCAAAAAGUGCAUUUUCUGAAGGUUUCUGUAUGGAAUUUUCCUAUUUUGUAUUUUAGCCAGAAAAAAACGUACGGUGACCCUAUCUUUUCUUUUGAUAUUCUCAAAGCAGUGUCUGAAAGCUAUCUUUUCCUGAAGUAUUUAACAAUUCUAUCAUUUUGUUUAGUUUCUAAUCACAAAAUGGUGUUUUUUCCUGUAUAAUCCAUACAAAAUGUGUCAUUUUGUCCCGUCCUGUAGCUUGAGAAAAUGUGCGGUGACCUAUCAUUUUUAUUAUAUUUUUCAACAUGUAUCAAUUGAUACAACGUUUUGGCAAAGUAUGAACAAAUUCUAUCAUUUUUAUUUUAGACUCCUAUACCACCUUAACUA
Molecule: long non-coding RNA, 377 nt
Filed under: Mytilus galloprovincialis (Mediterranean mussel)
Lineage: Eukaryota; Metazoa; Mollusca; Bivalvia; Mytilida; Mytilidae
Source: RNAcentral